RNAcentral lists this ribosomal RNA (252 nucleotides) under uncultured Bacteroidales bacterium. RNAcentral describes it as "partial 16S ribosomal RNA". It matches the Rfam family "Bacterial small subunit ribosomal RNA", at positions 524 to 776 of the family's 1533-position model. The record is from RNAcentral. Lineage: Bacteria; Pseudomonadati; Bacteroidota; Bacteroidia; Bacteroidales.
UACGGAGGAUGCGAGCGUUAUCCGGAUUUAUUGGGUUUAAAGGGUGCGUAGGCGGGCCUUCAGGCCGGCGGUAAAAUUGCGGGGCUCAACCCCGCCGAGCCGUCGGAACCGGGGGCCUUGAGUGGGCGAGAAGUAUGCGGAAUGCGUGGUGUAGCGGUGAAAUGCAUAGAUAUCACGCAGAACCCCGAUUGCGAAGGCAGCAUACCGGCGCUCAACUGACGCUGAGGCACGAAAGUGCGGGUAUCGAACAGG